This 270-nucleotide ribosomal RNA is filed under the name uncultured bacterium. RNAcentral's name for it is "partial 16S ribosomal RNA". The record is from RNAcentral.
CUGCUGCCUCCCGUAGGAGUUUGGACCGUGUCUCAGUUCCAAUGUGGGGGACCUUCCUCUCAGAACCCCUGCGCAUCGUCGGCUUGGUGGGCCGUUGCCCCACCAACUACCUAAUGCGCCGCAUGCCCAUCCGUGACCGGGGUCGCCCCCUUUGGCCGGCAGGGGAUGUCCCCUCCCGGCAUUAUGUUGUAUUAGGCGGGAUUUCUCCCGGUUAUCCAUCUGUCACGGCCAGGUUGCAUACGUGUUACUCACCCGUGCGCCGGUCGCCGG